GGAUGAACGCUGGCGGCGUGCUUAACACAUGCAAGUCGAACGGAAAGGCYCCWGCUUGCAKGGGUACUCGAGUGGCGAACGGGUGAGUAACACGUGGGUGAUCUGCCCUGCACUUCGGGAUAAGCCUGGGAAACUGGGUCUAAUACCGGAUAGGACGAUGGUUUGGAUGCCAUUGUGGAAAGUUUUUUCGGUGUGGGAUGAGCUCGCGGCCUAUCAGCUUGUUGGUGGGGUAAUGGCCUACCAAGGCGUCGACGGGUAGCCGGCCUGAGAGGGUGUACGGCCACAUUGGGACUGAGAUACGGCCCAGACUCCUACGGGAGGCAGCAGUGGGGAAUAUUGCACAAUGGGCGCAAGCCUGAUGCAGCGACGCCGCGUGGGGGAUGACGGCCUUCGGGUUGUAAACUCCUUUCGCUAGGGACGAAGCGCAAGUGACGGUACCUGGAGAAGAAGCACCGGCUAACUACGU
Molecule: ribosomal RNA, 466 nt
Filed under: Corynebacterium sp. 'ARUP UnID 274'
Lineage: Bacteria; Bacillati; Actinomycetota; Actinomycetes; Mycobacteriales; Corynebacteriaceae
Description: bacterial SSU rRNA
Rfam family: Bacterial small subunit ribosomal RNA
Source: RNAcentral